RNAcentral lists this ribosomal RNA (403 nucleotides) under Verrucomicrobiota bacterium. RNAcentral describes it as "Verrucomicrobia bacterium partial 16S ribosomal RNA". It matches the Rfam family "Bacterial small subunit ribosomal RNA", at positions 355 to 776 of the family's 1533-position model. Lineage: Bacteria; Pseudomonadati; Verrucomicrobiota. The record is from RNAcentral.
UGGGGAAUUUUGCACAAUGGAGGAAACUCUGAUGCAGCGACGCCGCGUGAACGAAGAAGGUCUUCGGAUUGUAAAGUUCUGUCCUGGGUGAAGAUAAUGACGGUAACUCAGGAGGAAGCCCCGGCUAACUACGUGCCAGCAGCCGCGGUAAUACGUAGGGGGCUAGCGUUAUCCGGAUUUACUGGGCGUAAAGGGUGCGUAGGUGGUCUUUCAAGUCGGUGGUUAAAGGCUACGGCUCAACCGUAGUUAGCCUCCGAAACUGGAAGACUUGAGUGCAGGAGAGGAAAGUGGAAUUCCCAGUGUAGCGGUGAAAUGCGUAGAUAUUGGGAGGAACACCAGUAGCGAAGGCGGCUUUCUGGACUGCAACUGACACUGAGGCACGAAAGCGUGGGUAGCAAACAGG